RNAcentral lists this non-coding RNA (29 nucleotides) under Homo sapiens (human). Lineage: Eukaryota; Metazoa; Chordata; Mammalia; Primates; Hominidae. The record is from RNAcentral.
AUCAUUAGCUAAUGCAAAGAAAUGUUUGC